This 626-nucleotide ribosomal RNA is filed under the name Salmonella enterica. RNAcentral describes it as "bacterial SSU rRNA". It matches the Rfam family "Bacterial small subunit ribosomal RNA", at positions 1 to 616 of the family's 1533-position model. The record is from RNAcentral. Lineage: Bacteria; Pseudomonadati; Pseudomonadota; Gammaproteobacteria; Enterobacterales; Enterobacteriaceae.
AAAUUGAAGAGUUUGAUCAUGGCUCAGAUUGAACGCUGGCGGCAGGCCUAACACAUGCAAGUCGAACGGUAACAGGAAGCAGCUUGCUGCUUUGCUGACGAGUGGCGGACGGGUGAGUAAUGUCUGGGAAACUGCCUGAUGGAGGGGGAUAACUACUGGAAACGGUGGCUAAUACCGCAUAACGUCGCAAGACCAAAGAGGGGGACCUUCGGGCCUCUUGCCAUCAGAUGUGCCCAGAUGGGAUUAGCUAGUUGGUGAGGUAACGGCUCACCAAGGCGACGAUCCCUAGCUGGUCUGAGAGGAUGGCCAGCCACACUGGAACUGAGACACGGUCCAGACUCCUACGGGAGGCAGCAGUGGGGAAUAUUGCACAAUGGGCGCAAGCCUGAUGCAGCCAUGCCGCGUGUAUGAAGAAGGCCUUCGGGUUGUAAAGUACUUUCAGCGGGGAGGAAGGUGUUGUGGUUAAUAACCGCAGCAAUUGACGUUACCCGCAGAAGAAGCACCGGCUAACUCCGUGCCAGCAGCCGCGGUAAUACGGAGGGUGCAAGCGUUAAUCGGAAUUACUGGGCGUAAAGCGCACGCAGGCGGUCUGUCAAGUCGGAUGUGAAAUCCCCGGGCUCAACCUG